GGAGAGGUAGCUCAGUUGGUAGAGUGCUUACCUAAGAAUCAGGAAGUGCUGGGUUCAAUUCCUAGUGUCUCAU
Molecule: transfer RNA, 73 nt
Filed under: Cricetulus griseus (Chinese hamster)
Lineage: Eukaryota; Metazoa; Chordata; Mammalia; Rodentia; Cricetidae
Rfam family: tRNA
About the family: Transfer RNA (tRNA) molecules are approximately 80 nucleotides in length. Their secondary structure includes four short double-helical elements and three loops (D, anti-codon, and T loops).
Source: Rfam by way of RNAcentral